Molecule: ribosomal RNA, 253 nt
Filed under: uncultured prokaryote
Description: partial 16S ribosomal RNA
Rfam family: Bacterial small subunit ribosomal RNA
Source: RNAcentral
ACAGAGGUCUCAAGCGUUAAUCGGAAUUGCUGGGCUUAAAGGGUCCGCAGGCGGUCUGACAAGUACCUUGUGAAAUAUCAGGUCUCAACCCUGAAACUGCUCGGUAGACUGUCAGACUUGAGUGCAAAAGGGGUCGCUGGAACUCUAGGUGGAGCGGUGAAAUGCGUAGAUAUCUAGAGGAACGCCAAAGGUGAAGACAGGCGACUGGUUUGCAACUGACGCUCAUGGACGAAAGCGUGGGGAUCAAACGGGA